AUUGUUGUCCAAGUGGGACUGAGAGUUCCUUUCCACUUUGUCUGCAGGGUCUUCAAAGGCGUCCUUAGAAAAAGAUUAAUUCCAGUGUUUCUUAUGCAUGAUCAUUUGAUUUUAUUCCCCUAUGCCCAAGCGUUAAGAUGUUUUUUAUUUUUUUUUCCUAUUGGAUCAAGUAGGCUAUGUCCCAGUGUAUAAAUCUCACUUAUUACACAUAAAUAAACUUAAAAUAUGAUUGAAAUCUCUAUAUGUGCUUUCCACUGCGUCAGACGGAAGUUUGGAGACAGAAGUGGUUGAACACAGAAAAACUGAGAAAGCAGUACUGGAAUCCCACAAGCCCCACACCACUUUCUGAUGCCGUGAACGUUUUUCCUGGUGUGGUGCAUCUGCCUCAGUCAUAGAAGCAGUGUUGGUAAUCAGCAUCGUGGAGGCGGCGUCGGUGGUCAGCGUCGUGGAGGCCAGAUAGAUCUUCCUCUUCUGCACAGGCUCCUCCCGGCUUCUCAUCUGUUCUGAAAGCCAGCACGAUUCCACGAUCCUCAGAUCACAUUGCACACCGAAGACCCCAGUGAUCACCUACUGCCUGGAAUCUUCGCCUUGCACCCCCACCCUCCUGUUCCUGCCUAUCCAACAUGGAUUUCCUUACAGCACUGGCCUAGAACAAAAUCAACCUGCAACUUUCUUCCAUUUCUUCUGACUCAAUGAAAACAUGGAUGCAGCUCUGUCUUCAUCCAGGACAGGCCCCUCCUGCACUUGAAUGACUUUGUGUACUUCUCAAUGUCCUGUCCUGUUGAGUUUGCUUCGAUUUCUAUUUGUCUAAUGAAAUCAGUUCAACAUUUUUGGAAAGGAUUCCUACAUUCCACACAUAGUGCUGAGGGUAGGAUCUCUGCUGAAAGCCACACCUGCUCAGGCCUACCUGCUGAAAGCCACACCUGCUCAGGUCACCUGCUGAAAGCCGCACCUGCUCAGGUCACCUGCUGAAAGCCGCACCUGCUCAGGUCACCUGCUGACAGCCGCACCUGCUCAGGUCACCUGCUGACAGCUGCACCUGCUCAGGUCACCUGCUGAAAGCCGCACCUGUACAGGUCACCUGCUGAAAGCCCCACCUGCUCAGGUCACCUGCUGAAAGCCGCACCUGCUCAGGUCACCUGCUGAAAGCCGCACCUGUACAGGUCACCUGCUGAAAGCCCCACCUGCUCAGGUCACCUGCUUCCUGUGCUGCAGGAAGACAGAGGGGGCUUCUACUUUCAUCCGCCUUCCACAUGCCAUGCAGUGCAUCUCAUUCAUGGGUUCUUAUUGCCAUCCACAAUCUGCCGGCAAGGAAAUUUGGAAAGUCUCCCCAGGUUUACAUCUGUGUGAUCUAAGGGGAAGCACGAGUCCUGCCGGAGAACUGAGCCCCAGCUCCCUAAGCCACUUGUGUCUUUCCACUCCCUACCCCAGUUGGUGCAGGGUUGUGUUUGUCAGUUGUGGAAUGGGUGUCCUGGGAGGCACAGUGUUGUUUUAGUGCUGAGGGGACUGCCCCCUCUUUCACUAGCAAAUGUUUAGGCAACAUCGUAAGCGUUUCUCAUGCAACAGCCCAUUAAUGUUCACAUGAACCUGAUUAUGUAAUGACUUAGUGACAAGGAUUUUCUAUUACAAACAGGAAGAGGGGGCUUCAGAGGUGAAGGCCCUGCCUGAGAGCACAGGACUGCUAAGUCUGGGCAGAUGGAAGCAGGAUGAGCCCACGGGACCUUUGCAUCUAACCACUGCACGAAGCCCGGCCCUCCAAGAGUGGUGACUUGGGGAGACACCCCAGUGUGGUAGACCCCAUGACAGAACCAGAGGAGAGUGGGAAACACCAUGUUUGCCAGCCAUGAGGAGCCAUCCAGAGAAUAAUGGCGGCUCCCCAGGACAGAGACGUGCACACUGGAGCCGCCGGGCACCGUGAGCUCUGCUUUCGAGAGUGCUUGACAUCUGGUCGCAGGGUGAUUGUAUUUUCUGUUACUCUUUUUAUUCAGUGUAAGGUUUUCUUCUCCUUUUUAUAGUCCUCUACUGAGUCCCUGGUUAUCCUUGACUUAGAGCAAUUCCAUAUCACAUAGAUCUCCAAAUUCCCCAGACUAGAAAAUGUGCUUUUGAACAAAUUGUGUGGCUUUACUAGAGCAUGAUAAUUGGCAAAAAGAAAACUUGGAAGACUCAGGGCCCAAAAGCCUGACAAUCACAAAUCAAUCUCCAUAGUUUUUGUCCACCCAUUGUGGCAAAGGGAGAAUCUGAACUGCGGUCUUGAAACCAGUGGCUGAUGUGAAGCCCCUUGGGACGCAGUGGUGAGGGGCUCCUGCGUCAGAGUCAUCUGGCUGCACUUCCGGUGCUACAUGACCUUAGGGGAGUCACCAGGACUCCCCAAAUAACGCCAACACCUCCAGCACGGAAGAGGGGGUGUUGGUAGUGACUACAGCAUGAUGACUAGUGGCACCAAACACUUUGCCACGCGGAAUGAGCAGGGCAGUCCGUGGACACCCACGUGGUGUGAAGAAGCUGAGAUUCAGAGAAGUGAAGUGGGCUGCUUAAGACCUCAGACGUAGGGACUGAUGGGACUGGACACAGCAUGCUGUUCACCAUGACUGUCCUGCACCCUUCAGACCUCAGGAGAACCCAAGGAGGCAGGUGCGGCUCUUAAGCACGUGCUGCUGACAGGGACACCGAGCCACAGAGGAACAAAGUCACCCACGGGACAGCAACAGACUGGGAGGCAUCGGGUGAACCCAGCAGGGCAGCUCCUGAAUCUGCCCCUAAACUAGGGGCUGGCGCCUGUGGUCAUUGCCGCCCACCCCACAAAUGUUUCGGUCAAUAGUUUUACUGGCACACAGCCACAGGCAUUCACUCCACAUAGACAUUGUCUGUAGCUGCUUGCAAAGCUGUAGCCGCUGAGUUGAAUAAUUGCAAGCAAGACCGCAAAGCCUAAAAUACAUAUUUUGGUCCUUUAAAGGAAAAGUGUGCUGACCCCUGGUCCAAAGCACCAGACUGUACUGCUCCCGAUAUGCAGCAGGCCUUGACUGAGGACAGAGUAUUUGUAUCUACACUGUGGAAGGAUAUCUGAGGUCCUCUUGAAAAGCUCAAUGUCCUACUGAGCAUGGGCAGCAACACCUUCACUGAGGGGUGAGAGCUGGAGUGGUGACUGAACCUCUGGGGUGACGGCAGAGGCUGUCUGAGCUGUAUAUCCAGAUGCACAGUUUUAACACCUGCAAGAAUGCAAUCUGCAUCACAGCUGCCCAGGCCUGGGUCCUGCUGCACUUCCACUUCCACGAGAGACAUGCAGGGGCCAGCUGGGGCUGGACAAGGGGAGAUGGGUGGAUGACAGACAGUGCUCUCCACUGACAGUCCUCUACCCCUGACCACCUAGACCCACUGACUGGCAGUUAUCACUCCUGCUUUUAUUUCCUUUGGGAUAAGUUCUUUCCCAGGAGGCUCCUAGAUUCUUUUUCAAACAAGAUUUUAGCAGGCGCCUCCCAUCAAUCUUUCAGAUACAUUUGGAUGUGUAUGAGCCCAGCUGAGGCUUGAGUGAAGACGGCCACUACCCUGCACGUCCUAGCACCAGAGACUUAUGUCAGAGCUCCUUGAAGAUUCCUAGCACCCAGAGUGCUCCUAAACUAACGGUAUUCCCUGGUUUCUAACAGAAGCAAAUGCAAAUCCUCUCUGAAGAAGAGCAUUUCUUUGGCCCAUUUUGUAUGUCUGUGUAGCAGGGCGAACCACAAAGAAGCUAACGAUUAAAAAUUACCAGAAAAACCUGAAAGAGUGGCACCAGGAAUGAGAGUCACAGAAAGCAAACCAAAAAUGAGCCCAAGGAAAGAGAAUAUUAAAAAUAACCAGACAUAAUUAGAAUAGAUAACUUUUAGAAAUAAAAAAAAUCAGUGAAUUAAAAACUCAAUAGUUGUUAAAAUGAAUGACGAGAGAAGUAAAAUAGAAGAUUUCUCUGAAGAAAUUACACAGAGAUACCCAGAAAUAUAAUGAGAUGGUAAAUAUAAAAGAGGUUAAGAUAUAUAAAAAGUCAAUUGAAAAACUCUAGCUUAAGUUUAAGCUGUGCCACAGAUGAAAGAGUAAAGGGAAUGGCAUGAAAGCCAUAUUAUGGAAGAACUAAUACUAAGAAAAUAAAAAAAUCCACACUUAUGCAUAUUCUAAUAAAACUUCAGAACAGCAAAAACAAAGAGAAGAUCUUAAAUGCAGCUACAGAGACAUGAGAAACAUCUCUAAUGAAAUAAUUCAACUGCCUGAAGAUUAGUGAACAGAAACAAUGAGAAUUAGGAGACAGAAGAAUAACCUUUUCCAAGCACUGUAAGAAAAGAAGUACCAACUGAAGAUGGUGUACCUAGCAAAAUUAGCUUCAAGAAUUAUAGCAAUAUAAAGACAUUUUAGAUAACAAAAAACUGAGUCACCUAUAGGGAGAACAUUAUUAUUAAAUAUAGUGCUAAAUGAUUAUUUUGAAGGAUUUCAGUAAGGAGAAAAUAAUCCUACAAACAAGUAAGAGAAAAGAGAGUGAUAAUUAUGUGACUAAAUGUAAACAACCAUAAUGAUAUAAAUAAUAAUAAAAUAAUAUAUCUUGGGAUUUUAAAAGAUAUGCAACUAAAAUACAAGGAAACAAUUGCAAAUAAAUUGGAAGAAUGGUUAGUGAAAUGAAAAUUUCCUAAUGCCAAAGUCUAGUCUUCCUCUUGAAAAGGUUUAAGUUAUAGAUUUCUUUUCUUGUAUUUUCUUUGGUGGUUUUGGUAUCAGGAUAAUUCUGAGCUUAUAAAAUAAGUUGAAAAGUUUUCCCCUCUUUAUUUUCUGGAAGAGGUUGUAUAAAAUUGCUGUUAGCUCUUCUUUAAAUGUCUGUUAGAAUCCUCCAGUGAAAUCAUGUGGGCCUGAAAAUCUCUUUUUGGGAGAUUUUUAGUUAGGCUUCGAUGUCUUUAAUGUUUAUAAAACUCUUCCAAUUAUCUAUUUCAUCUUGGUUGAGAUUUUUCAGUUUGUGAUUUUCAAGGAAUUGGUUUAUUUCUUCCAAGUGUCAAAUUUAUGAACAUAAAUUGGUUGUUGCAGUCCUUUAUUUUAUUUAGAUCAUGGUAGGAUCUGUAGUGAUAUCACUUAUUUCACUCCUGAUAUUUCUGGUUUGUAUCUUCUCUUUUUUCUUUUGUCAGUAUUGCUAGAGUCUAUUAACUUUGUUGAUUUUUUUUUUGAAGAAACAGCUUUAGGUUUUGUUAAUUUUUUCUAUUAAAUUUCUAUUUCAGUUUCACAGAUUUUGCUCCCUAUUAUUUCCUUCUAUCUACUUGAUUUUAGUUUAUUUUGUUCUACUUUUCUACUUUUUUGAGGCACUCACUUAGAUAAUUGAUUUGAGACCGUUACUGUUUUGUAGUAUAAGCAAUUCAUGUUAUAGAUUUCCCUCUUAGCACUGCUUUAGCUGCUGCACAUAUUUUGAAAUGCUGUGUUUUCAUUUUCAUUCUAUUCUAUGUGUUUCUUAAACUUUUGGAGACUUUUUCUUGACACGUGGAUUAUUUAAAAGUCUGUUGCUUAAUUUCCUUAUGUUUAAAUAUUUUCCUGUUGAUUUUUAGUGAUUGAUUUCUAGUUCGCUUUCAUUAUGUCAGAUAAUAGACUAUAUGACUACAAUUUUUAAAUGUAUUGAAGUUUGUUUUAUGUCUCAGGAUGUGGUCUAUCUUAGUGAAUGUUCCGUGGACACCUGUAAACAUGUAUAUCCUGCUGUUGUCAUAGGCAAUGUAUUGCUUAUGUCAAUUAGAUACUGUUAAUUGACUGUGUUAUUCAGAUCCUAUAUAUCCUGGCUGUUUUUCUGCUUAUUUUUCAGUUGCUGAGAGAGAGGUAUUAAAAUCUACAACCAUAAUGUUUGAUUGGUCUAUUUCUCCUUUCAGUUGUUGAUUCAUGUAUUUUAAGGUGCUGUUGUUUGGUGCAUAUACAUUUAGAAUUAUUAUAACUUCCUGGUAGAUUUAUCUUUUUAUCAUUUUUGUACUGUCCCUCUUUGUCUCUAGUAAUUUCCUUUGCUCUGAAGUCGACUUUAUUAGAUAUUAAUAGAGUCACUUCUGAUUUUUAGAUUAAUGCUGCAUGGUCUGUCUUUGUUCAUCCUCCUCCUUUCAAACGAGCCAUAUAAUUGAAUGUGAAGUGAGUUUCUAAUAAGGUGCAUAUAGGUGUGUGUUGCGCUGUGGGAUUCAGCUCGAAUCGUCCUUCCCCCGUUAGUUGUGCACACAUUAACUCAGCUAAUCUGUGCAAUGAGAAAAGCAUGUCUAAAUACGACUAAAGUUUUCAAAACCACCACGGCAUGGAAAGUCAGUGAUCCACAGAUUAGAACAACAUUCCAUUGUAAAGCAUCUCUAAGGAAAAGCAUCCAAGAUAAAAAGAUAACAGCCUGAGAAAAUGUUUGUAAUAAUGAUGUUUAUCACUUGCACAUCUACCUGGGCUUGGUUCUGCCAUUGGUUGAGGGUCUGGAAAUGACGCCUCUGGGUCUCCUUCUUGUAUGGGUAGGGGUAUAUCAGAUGCCCUGCCACUGUGCUCAUGUUUUCCUCUUUUUUAGUCCUUAGGUACCAAACCAUUUUCACCUUUAUCCAGCCACCAUUCAGAGUUCUCCUUUGGUUGUUUCUUGCAGUAUUUUCAGAGUUUCUAGUCAUAGUUAUUGGUGUGAGCAGGAAGAAACAGGUCUAUAUCAGCUUGAACAGGUCAGAAAUUCUGCUAAAGCUAUAGUCUCACAGAAUGUCAGGGUUUAUUUUAGCAAAACAAAAAAUAGUGUAUAAAUCCUAAUUGAGUGUACUGAAGGGAAAGAAGAAGAAUUAAGAAUAAAAAUAAUAUCAAAGAUUUAUGUAGAGCUGACGUUGUGCUGGGCAUACACACUUACACAUAUGCAUAUGUGCUCUGUGACUGUAGGAAUCUAGGUUCUGUCUUGCUGAGUAUUCCUAAAUUAAUAUAUUGAGACUUAACCUCUUUCUUGAACUUCAGGCUUGUAUCAGCUUGCUUCAUUAAAGUCUCUAUUUUGCUACGUGAACACCUCAAACUCAACAUGUCCAAACCACUUUCCAUCUUCCCUGCACGCUAGUUCCUCCUGCAGAUCCCUCACAUUUGUUAGUGAUGACUUCUCCCUUCCAGCCACUCCAGUCAGAGAUCCUGGAGUCGCCUUUUGAUGCCUCUCCUUAUCUCAUUACUCAGAUCCAAUCAUUGGCAAGUCCAGUUGGUGCUACCGUCAGAGCAUAUCAAGAAUCUAACCUCUCCUUUGCAUUAUUCCAGCUAGCCAUCUUCUUAGGCUGUUGUCCCUCUCAUUUGAUGAUGGUAGCAGCCUCCUAAUAUGAUCCUGCUUCACCGGUUUCUCUCUUCUGCCCUUUUCAACACAUCAGCCAGAAGGACCUUGUUAAGUCUGAGUCGGAUGCAGUCCCUCUCCUGACUGUGUCUCCUACGGCUUCCCACUCCAUCAGGGUGAAAUCUCUUGCAGGGUUUUCAAGAUCUCGUGUAAUACAUCCCACAACCUCUCCUUCUCUAUCUAAUGCUGGCCGUGUCCUGUCCGCCAGUCUCAGAGAGCUCUCCGUUCUUCCCCACUGCUACGUGCCAGGAGGCUGAACCUCAUGACCUUUAGGUGCAGGCUCCUUGCUUUCCGUUUUCAGCUGGCUUUAGAACUGGAAACACCAGGAGGAAGUCAGGAUGUGGGAGAAGGGUGAAGCUGGGGAAGUCUCUCUUUCUCCCUUCUCCUCGGCCAGGUGUUGGCAAGGGUUGCUCUUCUUUGUGUCCACAGAUCCUGUCCAGUGGGCUCCCUACAGCCCAGGCAGGCUCUUGCGGGGCUCCAUGGUUAUACCUCGCCUUGCUUCAGGCCAAGGGUUUGGAAUGGUUUGCUUAACUGAUCACACCUCCAUACUUCUCUUUUGAAUGUGCCAUCUGCUUCCUGCUAGGGCACUUAUUUUCUUGCUAUGCACCUGCCUGUUGUUGUUUUCGUGGCCUGGCCAGGUGGUCCUCCUUCCUAUCACUUUAACAACAAGCAUGAAUUUGAAGUUGCCAUCAUUUCUACCUAGAAUGUGCUUCCAGAUAUCCAUGUGCAUCACUCUCCAGGCUUCCUAAACAGAAGGAUCGAGUGUUGUGGGUAGUGACUAACUGGGGGCAGUGGUGCAUACAGUAAAGGGAUUUACAAAGGCAGUUUACCUUUACCUACAAGGUAAAGGAAGGUGGAUUUGUUAAAGAAAGUAUGAAAAUAUGUUGCAAGGAUGCAAUGGGUAGAUCAGCAAGAAAGGAGCUGAGUUCCAGGAGACAAAAGCUUGCUGGGUAUUUUACAGGAUGGUGCUUGUGCUGGAGAGGAAUACGUGCAGUACUGGUAACACUAAGAUUGCAGUGAGCGAACCUGCAUUUUUCUGUCAGCUGAGGUGUCUGCUGGUAAGUCAGGCAUAGGGAGAUUGUGUGUUAGAUGGGCUAUUUGCGCAGGAGGGCUGUGUGUCCUGGACCAUGAAGAAAGGCAGAUUUGUAGUUUAUCUGCUUUGUCUUUUUGCUUUCCCUGCUCCCCCUAGCCUGGCUCCUUUUCCUAAUCAGGACCCCACACCAGAUCACACCCUCACUCCCAAGUCUGGUCAUUUUCUUUAAAGUUAGAAUAUAUCCACUUCCCACCGCAAUGCUCUGGGUUCCCUUUAUCCUGGCUUACGUCACAUAGAAAAGCGUAAUUUAUAACUUAACAAAAGUGAGUAGCUAACGAAGAAAGCAGAUCAUACAUGACACCAUAAACUGUAAACAAUAAAAGCUGAAUUGGUAAAGAUCUUCUAACUGGAAAGCCCCAUACCGAGAUGGUGUUAAAUGCAUCGUUUCUAUAAAUGCUCAUGGUAUUUUUAUAAGGUGGACACUAUUAUUUCAUCUUAGAAAUCAGCAAAGAGAGGCUUUGAGAAAGGAACUAAAUUGCCCAAGAUCAAACAGCCAGUAAUGUCAGGGCAGGGAUUAGAAAACUUUAACAAUUAUAAAAUUUCAUGAAACAUGAAAAUAAGGAAUACAUCCCUUCAAAGCAGCUAUGAGAUGUAUGUAUUAGAGCAAAGGAGCAGUGAAAGUUACUGCAUAUUUCUUGGCACUUAGUCCAUGGAUUGCUUUCAGUGUUAUGAUUCCUCUGAGUCACAGAACCUGACAAUUGUGAGCACUGUUACUGCCCUAAUUCCUGCAGCCUCAGCUGUGAAACUUUCAGUAUUUUUCUUUUGUUUGUUGAGCCAGUUAUUAAAAAAAUGAACUACAACAGCUAAUUCUUUCUGUUUAUCUAAAUGCUUGUCAAAAUGCCUAAGCAGUGAUUUGCCAGGUUUGGGAGUUAUACGUGCUUAUACAUUUCAAAUAAACUGUGGCAGCGGCCUUAGCUUUUGUGGCUCCAGCAGGCGUAAGUGAGUGUGUGUGCUUUCUCUCUCCGCAUCUGCUGCUUGACAUCUUUAAUUUAUUAUUCCUGUUAUAUAACUUUGUUUUGGCGCUUGAACUUCCAUUCCCAUGACUUUAUGUUGAAAAACAGUUUUAAAUCUAGGAUUUGCAUUUCACCACAGUGAUAGAGCCUGGUUAUUUAUUGUUAUUUGCAAUAUGGCAUAUAAUAUGGCAAUAAUCUAUGUCUAGUCAACAGUCAGGAAUAACAAAAGAUUCAUGGCAUAUUAAAACAAGAUUGAUGUCCCUCUGCCGAGGGAGGUUAUUGCUGGCCUAAGCACAAAUGGCCAGAGUGAGUUGCACAGGCUGUGCAGCCCUGGAGGCCGUGGCUCUGGCCUCUCAGCCUUGCUCACACCCAGACCCCUGCACCCUUCUGUGAAGAACCCCUGUGAUUUCAAUCCUGCAGUGUGAAGUUGCCACGACGGAGCCAGCAUCUCUAUCCAAGUCUCCUGGGUGAUAGAACGCAUAUGUAGGCCAAACUCUGCAGCACUGAUGCAGCUGGUGAUGACUAAACAUGGCAGAUUUACCUAGUCAGUGACUUUAUGCAGGAAGAAACCGAAUGCAUGUGCGCAUCUUGAGAUGCGUGGGCCUUCUGUCCUGUGUGCAGCUGCGUGUGCUCCCCCACUGGCCCGGCCUGCGCGCUUUUCUGCCCCGGCACUCGCCAGCUGCCCAGUCCAGCUCAAGCCGGGAUUUUCCACGGCUGCCUCUGAACGGUCUCCAAGCCGCAGCUUCCUCUCCUCCUUCUGAGCUCCAAGUACCAUUGCUAUAAGGGGACAGGAGCAGGGUGGGAGAUUGUCCUGAGUCUUGACUCUGACUGUGCUGUGUGCAGGGUUAUCACCUUUCCACAUCCCACUUUCUUCGUCUUUACAGUGGGGAGAGCAACUUUUACCUUUCCCAUCCCGAAGCAGGGCUGUGGUGGUAGGAAGAUCAAAGAAAUUGCUUUAGCUUUUAAAAAUAGACAAGAAGCCAACAGUUCUUGGGUGGACGUGUCAGACCUGUUCCCGACAGGACAGAUGGCAGCACAGCCAGACCCGCUCAGUGUCCCAAGAGCAGCCCCGGCAAAGCAAGGCGGGAGCCGCCCCUCACCAGCCCAGCUGUGCUCACACACCCCCUCUGCAAUGUCGGAUGGUUCACAACAGGAUUUAUCGUUUUCUUUAAAGUCGCCUUGUGGAAACUCUUGUAUCCCUUACUCUCUUGUGCUGUUAUUGAAGGUUUAAUGGGUUCGUUUUGACUCCUCAGAUAGACUGUGCUUGAUAUUUCUUGCAAGCUCAACACGAUGGCUGGAACAUGUAAGUGUGUGAGUUAAAAACAGUUUGGGCUGCUUUUUAAUUAGAACUAUUAAAAAAGAAUUUUGGUUGCUUUUUAAUUGGAGCAAUGAAAAAUCAAACGAUCACCUGCUCAAAUCAGAAAAUUCUUAGUUUUCCAACUUAGUUUAUAAUUUCCUUCCUUAUAUCUUUGGGUUUAAUUUGCAGUUCUUUUCCUAGUUUCGGGGGGCAGAAGCUCUGAGCCUUUACUCCAAAACUCUUCCUAUUAAAUAUAUGCAACUGAAGCUAUACAAUUUUCUCUAAGCACUGCUCUAGCUUCGUCCCUCAUGUUUUGAUACGACACUUUUUAUUAUUUUUCAAUUCAAAACAUUUUCAACAUCCAUCGUGCUCCUAUGCGUAACAGCGUGGAAGUGUUUUGUGUGAUUAUUUCAGUCAUCUUUCUGUUGUGUUACAGUGUGAUUGUGUUGUGCAGGAAAACAUAAUUUGUGUGAUUUUACUUAUCUUUUUAUUUUUAAUUUGUUGAGAUGUGUUUUAUGGUCCAGUCUGUUUUGGUAAAUGUUCCUUGUUCCCUUGAUAAAGAGUUUACACUGCAGUUGUUGGGUGCAGUGUUCUGUAUACACCAGUUAGGAACAUUUAGUUGUGUCCCUAAAGGCUAUUUUUAUACUUUUUUUUUUUUUUGGUUUGUUUAUUCUCUCAGCUUCUGAAACAGGUGUUAAAAUCCUCAACUAUGCUUUUGGAUAUUUCUCUUCUUCUGCUUAGUUAAGUCUUUUUUUUUUCUAUACAUGUGUAGCAAUGUUAUUAGGCACGUACACACAAUUAUGAGUUUUGUAUCUUCCUGUUUUUAUGAAAUGUAGCUUUUAUCUUUAGGAAUAUUUUUGCCUUAAUUAAACUCAACUGUCUCGUAGUGCUAUAGCUACCUCAGCUGCCUCUUAAACACAAUGUGUCCAUGACUCCCACUCUAUAGACAUUUAUCUUCAGCCUGCCUGUAUGAUUUUAUCUAAAAUGUGCCUCCUGCAAAUUUCAUAUUGUUGGGUUCUCGGUUUUUCAUACAGACCAUCUUUGUCUUCUGAUUAGAUUGUUCAGUUUUAUACAUUUAAUUACUAAAAUAAUUGUGUUUAAGUAAGUCUACCAUCCUACUAUUCUAUUUCUCUUGUCUGUUUUUAUUUCUUUGUUCCAUUUUUCUUAAUUCCUUUCAGAUAAAUCAAGUAUUUUCAUGUGCUGAUUUUUCUUUUUCAUUAUAUUUUAGUACAUUAUUUUAUUAUUCUCUUAGCAGCUACCCUAAGCAUCUUUGAGUAGCUAAUGUUUAAAGUAGUAAUUUUAAUAUUUCUCUGAAAAUACAAGAAGCUUCCAAUAGUUAACUCCAUUUUGCACUAAUAUAAUAUAAAAUUUUACUUAUGCACACCUUAUAAAACUUGCACUACAUUUUUACAGUUGUUGUUUUAAACAGUUUUUCUUAUUUUCACAGUUUCUGGAGUGUGCUUCAUUCCUUCCUGAUGAUCUCUGCUUACCUGUAGGAUCUUCUGGACUUUUCUUUCAGCUCAAGAAACUUCUUUUACUGUUUAAUGUCAUUCUGUGGCAGGAAAUUGAUCAACUCUUCUCUGACUUGAAAUGUCUUUAUUUCAUCUUAUGUUUAAUGAGGUAUGAUUGCUGUAAAAUAAGUUGCAUAUAUUGAUGAAUACUGAUACAGUGACAUAUUGAUUUCCCAUGAAAACAUGUGUUUCUGUAAGCAAAAGGCUUCCUCAUGUUCCUUGGUGUCCAUUCCUCCCUCUGUUCCUGUCCUGAGGCAACUGUCAGUUUGAUUUCUGCCACUGUAAAAUGGUUUUCAUUUUCCAGAAUUUCAUGUAAAUGGAGUCUUGCAGUGCAUGCUCUUUCUUACUUUUAACCUGGCUGCUUUAAUUUCACCUGACAAUUUUGGGUGCAUCGUCCACUCAUUGCGUCCCCCAGUAGUUUGUUCCUUUUUAUGGCUGAGUCGUUGCCCGUUGCAUGAGCACAGCACAAUUUAUCUACCCAUUUACCUGCUAAUAGACAUUUAUAUUAUUUUCUAUAUUAUUUAAUAUAUAUAUUUAAUAUAUUAUUUAAUAUAUUAUUUUUAUAUUAAAAAUAAAAAAUGAUAUGAGCAUUUGUAUCCAAAAAUUUGGGUCUCAAAUGUAUUAAUUCUAGGAGUAGAAUAUCUGAGUCAUAUGGUAGGUGAAUGUUUAAUGUUUUAUAAAUUGACCACACUGUUUUCCAAAACGGUUUACAUUCUCAGCCGAAGUGUAUAAGAGUUGAAAUUGCUCUGCAUCCUCACCAGCGUUUGCUAUGGUCAUACUUUUAAAUAUUAGAUAUUCUCACACGAGUGCAAUGGUAUUGCUCUUAUGGUUUUAACCUCCUUUUCCCUAAAGACUAGUACUGUUGAGCAUCUUUUCCGUUGCUGAUUUGCCAUUUGUGCAUCUUUUCUUCUUGUUGUUGUUGUUGUUGAAAUAUCCAUUAAAAUAUUUGUCCAACUCAGUCCACAAAUGUACUGAGUUGUUUGUUUUCUUACCAUUGUGUUAUAAAUUAUUUAUAUAUUCAGAACAAAAGCUCUUUUUCAGAUAUUUAUUUUGCAAAUACUUCCUUUCAGUCUAUUAAAUAAUUUUAAUGAUGUCUUUUGAAGAAUAAAAGAUUAUAAUUUUCA
Molecule: long non-coding RNA, 13260 nt
Filed under: Homo sapiens (human)
Lineage: Eukaryota; Metazoa; Chordata; Mammalia; Primates; Hominidae
Description: HSALNT0338626
Source: RNAcentral